RNAcentral lists this long non-coding RNA (215 nucleotides) under Cicer arietinum (chickpea). RNAcentral's name for it is "long non-coding RNA (CARI_LNC001180)". The record is from RNAcentral. Lineage: Eukaryota; Viridiplantae; Streptophyta; Magnoliopsida; Fabales; Fabaceae.
UGAAGGUUCAAGCCCAUCAAUCGAAAACUGAAUCAGAUAGCUGCUCAAAUGAAUCCAGUAGUGAAACUGAAGAGACUGAAAUCGGGUCACUUGUCAAGAAAUUUAAGAAAUUUCUGAAGAAGAAAGACAAUAAAUUCAGAAAGCCAUCUAGCUCCAAGACUAGUGACAACAAGACAAUUACAUGCUAUGAAUGUGGUAAAACUGGUCAUAUCAAG